UACGGAGGGGGCUAGCGUUAUUCGGAAUUACUGGGCGUAAAGCGCACGUAGGCGGAUGAGAAAGUCAGAGGUGAAAUCCCAGGGCUCAACCUUGGAACUGCCUUUGAAACUCCUUGUCUUGAGGUCGUGAGAGGUGAGUGGAAUUCCGAGUGUAGAGGUGAAAUUCGUAGAUAUUCGGAGGAACACCAGUGGCGAAGGCGGCUCACUGGCACGAUACUGACGCUGAGGUGCGAAAGCGUGGGGAGCAAACAGG
RNAcentral lists this ribosomal RNA (253 nucleotides) under uncultured bacterium. Its description in RNAcentral is "partial 16S ribosomal RNA". It matches the Rfam family "Bacterial small subunit ribosomal RNA", at positions 524 to 776 of the family's 1533-position model. The record is from RNAcentral.